This 319-nucleotide ribosomal RNA is filed under the name uncultured bacterium. Its description in RNAcentral is "bacterial SSU rRNA". It matches the Rfam family "Bacterial small subunit ribosomal RNA", at positions 29 to 375 of the family's 1533-position model. The record is from RNAcentral.
AGCGAACGCUGGCGGCAGGCCUAACACAUGCAAGUCGAACGCUCCGCGAAGGGGAGUGGCGCACGGGUGAGUAACACGUGGGAACCUACCUUCUGGUACGGAACAACCAAGGGGAAACUCUGGCUGAUACCGUAUACGACCUCCGGGUGAAAGAUUGAUCGCCGGAAGAGGGGCCCGCGUCCCGAUUAGGUAGUUGGUGAGGUAACGGCUCACCAAGCCUGCGAUCGGUAGCUGGUCUGAGAGGAUGACCAGCCACACUGGACUGAGACACGGCCCAGACUCCUACGGGAGGCAGCAGUGGGGAAUAUUGGACAAUGGG